This 501-nucleotide ribosomal RNA is filed under the name uncultured bacterium. RNAcentral describes it as "partial 16S ribosomal RNA". It matches the Rfam family "Bacterial small subunit ribosomal RNA", at positions 30 to 523 of the family's 1533-position model. The record is from RNAcentral.
AUUGAACGCUGGCGGCAGGCUUAACACAUGCAAGUCGAGCGGAGUGAUGGUGCUUGCACUAUCACUUAGCGGCGGACGGGUGAGUAAUGCUUAGGAAUCUGCCUAUUAGUGGGGGACAACAUCUCGAAAGGGAUGCUAAUACCGCAUACGUCCUACGGGAGAAAGCAAGGGAUCUUCGGACCUUGCGCUAAUAGAUGAGCCUAAGUCGGAUUAGCUAGUUGGUGGGGUAAAGGCCUACCAAGGCGACGAUCUGUAGCGGGUCUGAGAGGAUGAUCCGCCACACUGGGACUGAGACACGGCCCAGACUCCUACGGGAGGCAGCAGUGGGGAAUAUUGGACAAUGGGGGAAACCCUGAUCCAGCCAUGCCGCGUGUGUGAAGAAGGCCUUAUGGUUGUAAAGCACUUUAAGCGAGGAGGAGGCUACUGAGACUAAUACUCUUGGAUAGUGGACGUUACUCGCAGAAUAAGCACCGGCUAACUCUGUGCCAGCCGCCGCGGUAA